GCGAAAGUAGCUCAGCUGGUAGAGCGCAACCUUGCCAAGGUUGAGGUCGCGAGUUCGAACCUCGUCUUUCGCUCCA
Molecule: transfer RNA, 76 nt
Filed under: Bacteroidota bacterium
Lineage: Bacteria; Pseudomonadati; Bacteroidota
Also listed under: 2 other names
Description: Bacteroidetes bacterium (freshwater metagenome) tRNA-Gly
Rfam family: tRNA
About the family: Transfer RNA (tRNA) molecules are approximately 80 nucleotides in length. Their secondary structure includes four short double-helical elements and three loops (D, anti-codon, and T loops).
Source: RNAcentral